RNAcentral lists this ribosomal RNA (408 nucleotides) under uncultured bacterium. RNAcentral's name for it is "partial 16S ribosomal RNA". It matches the Rfam family "Bacterial small subunit ribosomal RNA", at positions 28 to 526 of the family's 1533-position model. The record is from RNAcentral.
GACGAACGCUGGCGGCGUGCUUAACACAUGCAAGUCGAACGGAGUGGCGAACGGGUGAGUAUUACGUGAGUAACCUGCCCUCCACUGUGGGAUAAGCCUGGGAAACUGGGUAUAAUACUGCAUAGUUGGGGAUGGGCUCGCGGCCUAUCAGCUUGCUGGUGGGGUGAUGGCCUACCAAGGCCGUGACGGGUAGCCGGCCUGAGAGGGUGGUCGACCACAUUGGGACGGAGAUACGGCCCAGAGUCCUGCGGGAGGCAGCAGUGGGGGAUAUUGCACAAUGGGUGCACGCCUGUUGCAGGGAGGACGCGUGAGGGAUGAAGGCUUUCGGGUUGUAAACCUAUUACGGUACAGAACGGGUAUGUGCAGAAGAAGCGCCGGCUAACUACGUGCCAGCAGCCGCGGUAAUAC